Long non-coding RNA from Papaver somniferum (opium poppy), 2415 nucleotides. RefSeq lists it as uncharacterized. The transcript is spliced from 9 exons. The record is from RefSeq and is a predicted model, not a curated record. Lineage: Eukaryota; Viridiplantae; Streptophyta; Magnoliopsida; Ranunculales; Papaveraceae.
UUUAUCCUCUCUUUGUUUCUUCCGUCUUUCCCUUCUCUUCAGCUUGAACAUAGAGAAAUCGAGUGACAAACCAGAGAUGAGAACCAAAAACAAAACCAGAGAUGAAACUUAAAGUAUUUUACAGAUUUGUUUCUUUGUAAACUAGCCGAUUUAACCAAAACCAAUAUCAGAGAUGAAACCUAAAGUAUGCAAAACCCUAUUUUAUAGAGAGAUCGAGAGAAACCAGUUCUGAAUUUUACUUUUAGCUUGAAUCUCUCAGAAUAAGAGUCAAUUGAAGAAGUAAAUACAUAGAAGAUCUCUAACCUCAGAGAAUUAUGGAGAAAUCAAAUCUUUCUCGACAGAUGGAUGGGUUGCACCAAAACUUUCUGAAAGGGAUGACAACUUCAUGCUCCACAUGCUUACUACUGGGAAGAGAUAUCUGGCUAAUAGUGGGAUCUGGGAAGAGGUCAUGAAUGAACUGGAUAAAACAAGUGUGGUGUAUUGAUCGGCUCUUGGAUGGGUGGUAUGAAGUGAUAUGUUACACGAGAAGCUUGAUGCUACUAAGAAUCUAGGUUUGCUAUACAAAUUCGACACAAGAAUUUUCUGGUAAAGUGGUACAGUAUCCUAUUGCAUGAGCAUUAUAUACGAGAAGGAUGCAAGGAAGUUGUUCUUCUUGGAGCAUAUCAUUCCACCCUUUAAAUUUUGUAUACAUUCCGUUUGUUUGUUAAUUAAGUUUUGUUACAGAUUAUCAUUGAUGCAUUAUGGAUUUUACUUUGAGAAGGUUUAUGCUGAUACAAUUGAAGCCUUAAGGAUAUCUUACAAAAAGAUGAAUCCUUUCUGUGUUCCGUUUGCUAUUAUAAGGAUGGAUGGGCCCCAACUAUUCUAUCUCUACGUCAUGUGCCACCGGCAACUUUUGUAUUCUGAAUGCAGCGAAUCACAUUAUUAGAGGAGAAGCUGAUGUGUGAUGCUUCGCGGCGGCUCUGAUUCAGUAAUAAUACCUUCAGGCUUGGGAGGUUUUGUCGCAUGUUGACCAGUUUCAAAAAAGAACGAGGAUCCAAUCAAAGCUUCAAGCCCUUUUGGGAUAUUGUACUCACCCAUUAGCAGUACGGUUAGUCUCCCUGCACCAACGACUGAUCCUCACAUUCCCAAACAACUUCAGCAAAGCAGAGACCCUUCUCCAUAAAGAUACAAGUCCAGGGAGGUUAAGGUUCAAUCUUCUUAAGUAAAAGGGAUAAUCCUAGGAUUUUUCUUUGAGUUCUGUUUUGCAGUUGCUCAUUGACAUCCGUUUAAGGUAAUAAAAUAUGAAUCAUCCUUGAGUAGCCUUCUUUUCGCUAGACCAUAACUGGGUAGGGUAUAUCAUUUGUUUUGCAGUUUUUGGUGACCUCCAUAUAAGGUAAUGAAAUCUUAUUCAUCCUUGAGUAGCCUUCUUUUUCUCGAGGUUUUCGAACUUGGUAAAGGUUAACGACAAUCAGAAUUUUUAGGUGUUCAUGCAUACCAUGGCUGCACAUAACUCUUACUUAGGGACUUGAGUGUUGGGUAUCACGUGUCUUUGUUCUGUUUUCUUAUAUUUUUUUCAUUUGGAAAACUGAUGUCUAGCUGUUCUCUAACCGACCAACUGUAAGUUCUCCAUUAACCUUUAACAUGAUGCAUAAUAAGUUUUUGUUUAUUCAUGUCCAAUUUUUGUUGGUAUGUCCUGGUCUAUCACCUUUAGUAUACGAUAGGAAGAUGACCAUUGUUGGGUUACCAUGCUAUACACAAGCUUAUUUUGUAUUUCAUUCUUUGAUUAUUGUAGUUGCGGUUAAAAUUACUGUGUUUAGGUAUUGCAGUUUUAUGUAAAUUAAUCUUAUAUGAAGAUGAUAGAUUACUGAACAUUAUUUUACCUAUUUCGCAUCAGGAUACAAUAGUGAUGGCUACUAUUACAUGCCUUGCAAGGACUGCGUUAAGAAGAUGCAAAAACUGCAUUAAGAAAGUGAUUGGGAUGCUGUUGUUUUGUUGUUCCGUGGUGCAUACAAGUCUCUCUUUGCAGACUGAAUUGGCAAAUCUUCAAAAGAAUAAAAGAGAAGAUUUAUGUUAGGUGGUGGUGGACUAAAGAAAAGCAGAAAAUCGGAACAAGAUGCUCUAGUAAAGGUGGCAUUAUAAGAGAAUCAAGAAGACGGAGUUGGAUAAGCAUAAUAUGAUUUGAGUGACAAGUUGGAGGUAGUUUCUUAUUUCAUAAAAUUCUUGUAGAAAGUGUAUCCACUGCUUUGAUUGAACGAGAAACCCAAAAUAUGCUCAACUUUGAUCCCAAAUUGUAGAGAUGGACUUUUUAUCCGUUUAUUAUGUUAAAAUUCAGUCGCCUUACAUCUGUAAUUGAUUGUAUAUGGAUGGAUCCAUCUUUGAUGUUGCAAUUCCAUGUGAUAAUAGAAUUUAUUGAAUAAUGGUUUUGUUUAUGAUCGA